Molecule: long non-coding RNA, 149 nt
Filed under: Chinchilla lanigera (long-tailed chinchilla)
Lineage: Eukaryota; Metazoa; Chordata; Mammalia; Rodentia; Chinchillidae
Description: lncRNA (ENSCLAG00000027904.1)
Source: RNAcentral
CCCAGACCCAGAUUUAUCCCCGAGCCCCAUGGAGCCCAGGUGAGCCCUCAGCCAGGCCCAGUCGUGGGCUCCACCCAGCCCCAGGCCCACCCCCCGGAACUGCCGAGCCCCGGAGGGGCCCGUUCUGCGACCUUGGAACCAAGACCCAG